UUUAAGGGCAACCAUAAGUUUCCACACCCAACUUUAAUCGUCCAUCUUAUUUGAAAAUUUUUUGUAAUAGUUUGUUAUUACGAGAGGAUAAAACAUGAAUAGUACUUUAUUCGUGACAUAUGUUUCUAAUUUUUUUAAAAAAAUUCAAAUAAGACGAACAGUCAAAGUUGGACGCGGAAAACCAUGGCUGCACUUAAA
MicroRNA precursor from Oryza sativa Japonica Group (Japanese rice), 198 nucleotides. It matches the Rfam family "MIR812 microRNA precursor family". Lineage: Eukaryota; Viridiplantae; Streptophyta; Magnoliopsida; Poales; Poaceae. The record is from Rfam.